AUGGCUGUCGUCAGCUCGUGUCGUGAGAUGUUGGGUUAAGUCCCGCAACGAGCGCAACCCUCGCCCUUAGUUGCCAUCAUUCAGUUGGGCACUCUAAGGGGACUGCCGGUGAUAAGCCGCGAGGAAGGUGGGGAUGACGUCAAGUCCUCAUGGCCCUUACAGGUUGGGCUACACACGUGCUACAAUGGCGGUGACAAUGGGACGCAAUGGGGCAACCCUGCGCAAAUCUCAAAAAGCCGUCUCAGUUCGGAUUGCACUCUGCAACUCGAGUGCAUGAAGUUGGAAUCGCUAGUAAUCGCAGAUCAGCACGCUGCGGUGAAUACGUUCCCGGGCCUUGUACACACCGCCCGUCACACCACGAAAGUCGGCAACACCCGAAGCCGGUGGCCCAACCUUAGGGAGGGAGCCGUCGAAGGUGGGGUUGGCGAUUGGGGUGAAGUCGUAACAAGGUAGCCGUACCGGAAGGUGCGGCUGGAUCACCUCCUUUCUAAGGAACCAACUGUCCGUGUCCGGCCAUAUCGGUUGGGUAACAACACGGAGAGUUCCUACGUCGAUCACUGGUUAAUCGACCAGACGGAAUUCGUCUCGACCCUCGGUCGCCCACCACCUCCUUCGGGAAGUGGUCACCGGCCGGGCACCACCGAGCGACCCGUUCGGUCGGGCUUCACUGCUCUGUUGUGAGGGAGCGCUUCCGCGCGCCGGCCUUUUCGGUCGGCGCGUUCUUGGCGUCCCUCCGGGAAAUGCGUGGAGAUCACCGCAUCGCCGUCGAGCUCAGCUCCGGUGGAUGCAACGGUGAUCGUGAGCGCUUCCCGACGCCGUCAUGCUCGCCAGAGCGCGGCGUACACCGUCCCUUGAGAACUGCAUAGCGAGCACGAGCAUCUUUUUUGAAAAUCUCAAGCUAUGAAGAGCCAACGGUGGAUGCCUUGGCGCCAGAUGCCGAUGAAGGACGUGGGUGGCUGCGAUAAGUCACGGGGAGCUGUCGACCAAGCUAUGAGCCCUGGAUGGCCGAAUGGGGAAACCCGG
Molecule: small RNA, 1023 nt
Filed under: uncultured Hyphomicrobiales bacterium
Lineage: Bacteria; Pseudomonadati; Pseudomonadota; Alphaproteobacteria; Hyphomicrobiales
Description: bacterial SSU rRNA
Rfam family: Bacterial small subunit ribosomal RNA (bases 1-487)
Source: RNAcentral